AGGGAUUUAGCUCAGCGGCAUAAGCACCUGCCUGGCAAGCAUGAGGACGUGAGUUCAAUCCCUG
RNAcentral lists this transfer RNA (64 nucleotides) under Cavia porcellus (domestic guinea pig). It matches the Rfam family "tRNA". Rfam says of the family: Transfer RNA (tRNA) molecules are approximately 80 nucleotides in length. Their secondary structure includes four short double-helical elements and three loops (D, anti-codon, and T loops). Lineage: Eukaryota; Metazoa; Chordata; Mammalia; Rodentia; Caviidae. The record is from Rfam by way of RNAcentral.